Non-coding RNA from Ilex paraguariensis (yerba mate), 81 nucleotides. The record is from the annotation of a GenBank genome assembly. NCBI's taxonomy places the organism in Eukaryota, Viridiplantae, Streptophyta, Magnoliopsida, Aquifoliales, Aquifoliaceae.
UCCAAUGAGUAGUUUAUGUGGUAAUAACGAUGAACUGUAAAUUUAGACGUCUUAAGUUCGAAUCUUGACAAUUUCUUGGAA